UGAGGAAUAUUGGUCAAUGGGCGAGAGCCUGAACCAGCCAAGUAGCGUGCAGGACGACGGCCCUAUGGGUUGUAAACUGCUUUUAUAAGGGAAUAAAGUGAGUCUCGUGAGACUUUUUGCAUGUACCUUAUGAAUAAGGACCGGCUAAUUCCGUGCCAGCAGCCGCGGUAAUACGGAAGGUCCGGGCGUUAUCCGGAUUUAUUGGGUUUAAAGGGAGCGUAGGCCGGAGAUUAAGCGUGUUGUGAAAUGUAGACGCUCAACGUCUGCACUGCAGCGCGAACUGGUUUCCUUGAGUACGCACAAAGUGGGCGGAAUUCGUGGUGUAGCGGUGAAAUGCUUAGAUAUCACGAAGAACUCCGAUUGCGAAGGCAGCUCACUGGAGCGCAACUGACGCUGAAGCUCGAAAGUGCGGGUAUCGAACAGGAUUAGAUACCCUGGUAGUCCGCACGGUAAACGAUGGAUGCCCGCUGUUGGUCUGAAUAGGUCAGCGGCCAAGCGAAAGCAUUAAGCAUCCCACCUGGGGAGUACGCCGGCAACGGUGAAACUCAAAGGAAUUGACGGGGGCCCGCACAAGCGGAGGAACAUGUGGUUUAAUUCGAUGAUACGCGAGGAACCUUACCCGGGCUUGAAUUGCAGAGGAAGGAUUUGGAGACAAUGACGCCCUUCGGGGUCUCUGUGAAGGUGCUGCAUGGUUGUCGUCAGCUCGUGCCGUGAGGUGUCGGCUUAAGUGCCAUAACGAGCGCAACCCCUCUCCUUAGUUGCCAUCAGGUCAAGCUGGGCACUCUGGGGACACUGCCACCGUAAGGUGUGAGGAAGGUGGGGAUGACGUCAAAUCAGCACGGCCCUUACGUCCGGGGCUACACACGUGUUACAAUGGCAGGUACAGAGAGACGGUCCCUUGCAAAAUGGAUCAAAUCCUUAAAGCCUGUCUCAGUUCGGACUGGGGUCUGCAACCCGACCCCACGAAGCUGGAUUCGCUAGUAAUCGCGCAUCAGCCAUGGCGCGGUGAAUACGUUCCC
RNAcentral lists this ribosomal RNA (1019 nucleotides) under uncultured bacterium. RNAcentral's name for it is "bacterial SSU rRNA". It matches the Rfam family "Bacterial small subunit ribosomal RNA", at positions 355 to 1375 of the family's 1533-position model. The record is from RNAcentral.